CGUGAUGUGUGCGUGGGUCAAAUGGUGGUUUUUGAUAUUAACAUUUUAAUCAUAACACUUUGCCAAAGCAUAGAAACUAAACAUUUUUGACCGUUUCACAGCAGAUUGAAGUAUAAGCACUCGCAUUUAGGUUGCUAAUAUGAAAAGAGAGGUUUCCCAAAGACCAAGAUGGCACCGGGCAAUAUGGCACCCCUCAACGCUUCACUAGGGCAGUUCACAAACCAAUGGGCGAAAUCAAGAAUUACAGCGAAUGAUUCCUGCCGGGGAGCUGCGGUGACUAAGUGAGCAAAUAGCCGGGUGAGCGAUAACGUCUGAGGAGCCAUCGUGCUGGGAGUGAGGACCUACUGUAUGUGCUGGCACCGGGCCCCUUCACGCUCCAUCUCUUACUCUCUCUCUCUCUCUCUCUCAAAUUACUUCUCCCUCUGUCCCUGCAAACAAGGU
This is a long non-coding RNA of Scophthalmus maximus (turbot), 441 nucleotides long. RefSeq lists it as uncharacterized. The transcript is spliced from 3 exons. The record is from RefSeq and is a predicted model, not a curated record. NCBI's taxonomy places the organism in Eukaryota, Metazoa, Chordata, Actinopteri, Pleuronectiformes, Scophthalmidae.